RNAcentral lists this ribosomal RNA (775 nucleotides) under uncultured Neocallimastigales. Its description in RNAcentral is "partial large subunit ribosomal RNA". It matches the Rfam family "Eukaryotic large subunit ribosomal RNA", at positions 24 to 642 of the family's 3401-position model. Lineage: Eukaryota; Fungi; Neocallimastigomycota; Neocallimastigomycetes; Neocallimastigales. The record is from RNAcentral.
UAUCUCUGUAGAGUCUGCAUAUCAAUAAGCGGAGGAAAAGAAACUAACAAGGAUUCCCCUAGUAACGGCGAGUGAAGCGGGAAGAGCUCAAAUUUGAAAUCUUCAAGGUUUGACCUUGACGAAUUGUAGUUUAAAGAAGUGUUUUCGGUUAGAGGAGUAGUAAAAGUUCUUUGGAAUAGGACAUCAUAGAGGGUGAGAAUCCCGUAUUUGACUAUUCUUUCUAGCUUUGUGAUACACCUUUCAAAGAGUCGGAUUGUUUGGGAAUGCAGUCCAAAAUGGGUGGUAAAUUUCAUCUAAAGCUAAAUAUUGGCGAGAGACCGAUAGCGAACAAGUACCGUGAGGGAAAGAUGAAAAGAACUUUGAAAAGAGAGUUAAACAGUACGUGAAAUUGUCAAAAGGGAAGCGUUUGACACCAGUGUUGUUUUUCCAAAAAUCAAUUACGAAUGGCUUGAUUUUGUGUUGUAUUGACCUUAUCAGCUUUCUGCACUUUUUUCGAGUCUUUCUUAAUGCACUUUUUGGUUAACAAGUCAACAUCAAUUUCUUUCGUUGUAAAAGAGUAUUCGGGAGGUGGCUUUCUUUUCGGAGAAAGUGUUUAUAGCCCUAUACUUCUACAAUCGGAGAGAUUGAGGUCUGCAGCGUAGAUCCUUCGGGGUUAGAUACACUUGUGCUAAGUUGUAGCUUUUCAUAGACAACUUGUUGACUAUGUUUAGUCAUGCGGCUUACUCGCUUGUGCUAUUUUACCUACGCUUAGGAUGUUGAGCGCAUGUCUCUCUCU